UACGAAGGGGGCUAGCGUUGUUCGGAAUUACUGGGCGUAAAGGGCGCGUAGGCGGCUUCGCUAGUCGGGUGUGAAAUGCCUGGGCUCAACCCAGGAACUGCACUCGAAACUUCGAGGCUAGAGUGUGGGAGAGGAUAGUGGAAUUCCCAGUGUAGAGGUGAAAUUCGUAGAUAUUGGGAAGAACACCGGUGGCGAAGGCGGCUAUCUGGACCACAACUGACGCUGAGGCGCGAAAGCGUGGGGAGCAAACAGG
This 253-nucleotide ribosomal RNA is filed under the name uncultured bacterium. RNAcentral describes it as "partial 16S ribosomal RNA". It matches the Rfam family "Bacterial small subunit ribosomal RNA", at positions 524 to 776 of the family's 1533-position model. The record is from RNAcentral.